This 1286-nucleotide ribosomal RNA is filed under the name metagenome. RNAcentral's name for it is "bacterial SSU rRNA". It matches the Rfam family "Bacterial small subunit ribosomal RNA", at positions 243 to 1520 of the family's 1533-position model. The record is from RNAcentral.
AGCUAGUUGGUGGGGUAAAAGCUCACCAAGGCGACGAUCUGUAGCGGGUCUGAGAGGAUGAUCCGCCACACUGGAACUGAGACACGGUCCAGACUCCUACGGGAGGCAGCAGUGGGGAAUUUUGGACAAUGGGGGCAACCCUGAUCCAGCCAUGCCGCGUGAGUGAAGAAGGCCUUCGGGUUGUAAAGCUCUUUCAGCCGGGAAGAAAACGCAUGGGUCAAUACCCUGUGUGGAUGACGGUACCGGAAUAAGAAGCACCGGCUAACUACGUGCCAGCAGCCGCGGUAAUACGUAGGGUGCGAGCGUUAAUCGGAAUUACUGGGCGUAAAGCGUGCGCAGGCGGUUUUGUAAGACAGGCGUGAAAUCCCCGGGCUUAACCUGGGAACUGCGUUUGUGACUGCAAGGCUAGAGUACGGCAGAGGGGGGUGGAAUUCCACGUGUAGCAGUGAAAUGCGUAGAGAUGUGGAGGAACACCAACGGCGAAGGCAGCCCCCUGGGUCGAUACUCACGCUCAUGCACGAAAGCGUGGGUAGCAAACAGGAUUAGAUACCCUGGUAGUCCACGCCCUAAACGAUGUCAACUAGGUGUUGGGUGGGUAAAACCAUUUAGUACCGGAGCUAACGCGUGAAGUUGACCGCCUGGGGAGUACGGCCGCAAGGUUAAAACUCAAAGGAAUUGACGGGGACCCGCACAAGCGGUGGAUGAUGUGGAUUAAUUCGAUGCAACGCGAAAAACCUUACCUACCCUUGACAUGUCAGGAACUUGCCAGAGAUGGCUUGGUGCUCGAAAGAGAACCUGAACACAGGUGCUGCAUGGCUGUCGUCAGCUCGUGUCGUGAGAUGUUGGGUUAAGUCCCGCAACGAGCGCAACCCUUGUCGUUAAUUGCCAUCAUUUAGUUGGGCACUUUAACGAGACUGCCGGUGACAAACCGGAGGAAGGUGGGGAUGACGUCAAGUCCUCAUGGCCCUUAUGGGUAGGGCUUCACACGUCAUACAAUGGUCGAUACAAAGGGUCGCCAACCCGCGAGGGGGAGCUAAUCCCAUAAAGCCGAUCGUAGUCCGGAUUGCAGGCUGCAACUCGCCUGCAUGAAGUCGGAAUCGCUAGUAAUCGUGGAUCAGCAUGUCACGGUGAAUACGUUCCCGGGUCUUGUACACACCGCCCGUCACACCAUGGGAGCGGGUUCCGCCAGAAGUAGGUAGCCUAACCGCAAGGGGGGCGCUUACCACGGCGGGGUUCGUGACUGGGGUGAAGUCGUAACAAGGUAGCCGUAGGGGAACCUGCGGCUG